UACGUAGGAUGCGAGCGUUAUCCGGAUUUAUUGGGUUUAAAGGGUGCGUAGGCGGACUGUCAAGUCAGCGGUAAAAUUGAGAGGCUCAACCUCUUCCCGCCGUUGAAACUGGUGGUCUUGAGUGGAUGAGAAGUACGCGGAAUGCGUGGUGUAGCGGUGAAAUGCAUAGAUAUCACGCAGAACUCCGAUUGCGAAGGCAGCGUACCGGCAUCCAACUGACGCUGAGGCACGAAAGCGUGGGGAUCAAACAGG
This 252-nucleotide ribosomal RNA is filed under the name uncultured bacterium. RNAcentral describes it as "partial 16S ribosomal RNA". It matches the Rfam family "Bacterial small subunit ribosomal RNA", at positions 524 to 776 of the family's 1533-position model. The record is from RNAcentral.